UUAUUGUAUAAUUUUUUGAAAAUAUUGAUUUCUGAAUUGCAAAUGCUGAAUGUAAAGUACUUUGAUAAAUCCUAUUUUAAUUGAGUUUCAAUCCAAGUGUGACCUUUUAGUGACUGAUCUUACUGGACAUUUGAUUGGAAUUUUUUUUUUCAUCUUACUUAAACAAAUUACUUUUUUUUCUCCUCUUCUUAGAAUCAACGAAUCCCAUCUGACAUGGUGUUUCUCAGAACAUCGGAAAAAACUGCCCAAAGCUUUUGGAUCCAGCAUGAUUUAAAAGAGAUUGAUUCAUAUCUCCUCUUGGGCUACUUGGAGUGUCAUCUUUUUUCGACUUAUCCAACAGUGAUUUCAACAGGAAUCCUACCUGCUUAAAAAAGUAGGAGGAUCUAUACCCCUGUAGAAGGUUUACCUUAAAUUAGGUCACUUGCAUGCAGUACUUAAGGGGGUAAAAGGUCAAAGUGCUUUGAUCUCCUAAUCUUUACUAGCUAUAUUGGAUUGUAGGAUUGCAUAUCCAGACACUUGGAAGAAAUUAUAGUCCACUCUACCAGGAGUGUGUAUCAAUGGUAAUUUCUUUGAAUGAUGUGCCUUGUAGUAGAAAUGCCUAGGGAACUCAAUAUGUAACAUUGCAUCAUGUUUGCUGCUGUAGAAAUAUCAGGAGCUAUUUAUAUGCAGAGAGCUGUCCUUAAUUAGGAUCCUUGCAGCAAUUUACAUCAGAUGCAUUGUUACUGCUGGAGUAAAUGAACAAGAUGAAACAGUUGUUAACCUUGCAAAAGCAUAAGUUCCUCAAUGUUGUGUUUUAUAUAUCUACUCUAUGGCAUGCUUUCCUCCCUGUUAAUUCUUAAAUUUCUGGAUUCUGUAAGAAAGCAUGUAAGAAACUGCAAUCUUCUUUCCCCUCAACACUGGUAGCUGAAGGAGGGGGAACAGAUUGGAGUGUCUUUGGAGGGAAAUCUCUAUAUCAAGUUUCUUAUAUGCUUUCCUAUAUCAAAAAUGUGUAAAGAAAAGCAUUUUUUGAAAGUAAAAUAGUUUAAGUCCAUUUCAGAGGUCAGUUUUUUAGAAUGUUAUAAUCAAAAUUUUUCUUUAAGAGAGUCCAGAGCAGUAAUCUAAUGUCUAGAAAAUAAAACGACUUAUAAAGUUAUCA
RNAcentral lists this long non-coding RNA (1135 nucleotides) under Struthio camelus australis. RNAcentral describes it as "lncRNA (ENSSCUG00000013390.1)". Lineage: Eukaryota; Metazoa; Chordata; Aves; Struthioniformes; Struthionidae. The record is from RNAcentral.